UUUUUACUACAUCGUUUAAUCUAUUGAAGAGUCCAAUAACCUAGUUAAGAUGAAUGUGAAAGAACUUCAAUCUUCAUUGGAGGCUCAUGAGAUGAGACUGAAGCAAAGGAACUCAGAAAGGGAGGAAGUGGUGAAAUAGGCACUGCAAGCAAGAUUUAUCAAGAAGUCUGAUAGAGAAAAGAAGAAAUAGAGAAAGGAAUGUG
Molecule: long non-coding RNA, 203 nt
Filed under: Lathyrus oleraceus (garden pea)
Lineage: Eukaryota; Viridiplantae; Streptophyta; Magnoliopsida; Fabales; Fabaceae
Description: Pisum sativum (pea) long non-coding RNA (PSAT_LNC035753)
Source: RNAcentral